This 258-nucleotide long non-coding RNA is filed under the name Malus domestica (apple). Its description in RNAcentral is "long non-coding RNA (MDOM_LNC002406)". The record is from RNAcentral. Lineage: Eukaryota; Viridiplantae; Streptophyta; Magnoliopsida; Rosales; Rosaceae.
GUGCCGCAACCAUGUCUUCGAGGUCAAGCUCGAUUUUCCCUUGUUGUGCUAGCUUCAAGAUGAGAUCUUUCAGUACGAAGCACUUUUCCGUUGGAUGACUGAUGAAAUGGUGGAAUUUACAGUACCUUGGACUAUCAGUACGAUUCAUCUCUUCCGGCCGUCUGCACUUAGGUAGGUCGAUCACCUUUUUGUCAAGCAAGUCUUUCAACAUGGCAACCAUAUCAGAGUCGGGGAAUGGAUAAGUCUUCUCCUCGAGCU